UUCGACGUUAAUUGUUUUGAAAGACAAAAGACGGCGCGGCUCGCACCUGGCAGCCGGAGACAUCAAGCUGGCGGCGUGAUAUUCAUGAACUCUGGAACCCGGAUUUAAAAAUGAUCUUUUCUGCUCUCCCAAGACGCGCAUCGUUCUUAGUGCAUAGCCUAAAUUACGCAAAACUUUUUCCAAUUGGUUUGGCAACACAAACCAAUCCAACUGGAAUGGUUUGUGUUGCCUGAGGCCUAAUAAACUGGCGACUAAACUCACCUGCUGAGGAUCGGCUAGAGUGGGCGAGCAGGCCGCGGGAGCGCCAUGUUGGAAAAAGCUGCGUUGUUACUCGAACCGAGCAGCAGAUGAAGAGUGAGCCGACCUUGGCGUCUCAGGCGGUUUGUUUGGCUGAUGGCGUCCCUGAAAUAUCUGUGGAGGAAAACAAUGGCGUCUGGAACUAGCAGCAAAUCGAUUAUGGAUGUUAAGAGGAUUUACAAGCAGGCUUGUAGGCUGAGGAUCGCUUCAAGCUGCCUGGGGGAUCCGCCCGACCCAUCAAAGGUUGGUUAAGUCAAGCAACUGUUCGAUGGCGGGUCCAGAAGACAUCUCAGGGUAGGAGCUGCUGCGGGUUUGAUGCUAGCUGCUGAUGCUAACGCUGUUGAAGGCCAACGCAAGGCCUGAUGCUGGUUUGGUUUGAUUCUCCGCUGAGAGUCGAUGAGCUGGGAAGGAUUCUGCUGUUUAAAAGCCUUAAGUCUUGGUUGUGGUCAUGUUGACCUGUGGAGGUUUAGGUGUAAUUAGCAUGUUGGAAUCUGAAGUUCAUGGUUAAAAAUCGGACUUGCCUUAAAAGAAAGAUGGCUGCCAAGGUUUUGGCGAAUACAGUAUAGAGGCUGCAGGAAGUCAUUGAGUUAGAUCAAGUAAAUGUCACUAUAAUAAUCCUUGAUACCAUACCUACACAUUAUUGGUGAUAAUUCCAUGUUUCUAUGUUGCCAUUUAUUAUAGCUGCAUAAGAUAUUUGUCUUUUAGAUGAAUACUACAUGUUUUUGGGUGGAAAAUGAGGUCUUUUACAUUUCAAUAUACAUACCUUUUUUUAUUUUUUGUAUGUACUUAAUACUUAGUUUGAAACCUAAUGUAAGUAUUCAGAAAUGGGGUCCAUACUUAAAUAAUUUAACUCAAACAAAUUUUAUUUACGUCCAACAACUUAAACAUGACAACCGGUUGUCUUUGCGUCAAACUCGUGGCCUCUUGUGAUUUCAUUUCUUCUGGACGAUGACUUCAUUUCUUCUGGACAACAAUUUCAUUUCUUCUGCAAGACGGAGAUCAACAGAGAUCUGCUGGAGGUCAGAGGUCACAGAAGUAAUAUUCACUGCCUAAUCCACCCUCUCAUUUGCAGGUUUUCAAAUUAAAUUAACAGUUUUCCUUCUAGAGAGCCAGUGGGACCUGUCUAAGAGUUUUUAGUCUGUUUUUAACCCAGUUUCUCUCCUAGACUAACAUACCAGCAUACUUUGUGUUGCACCUAACUAUUGUUUUCUCUGAUAAAGCCACAAAAGGAGCUUCUACUGCAACUAACGCUUUAUUUUCUCCAAUAUAGAAAUACUCCUGCAGCAGCUCUUUCUUUCUGUCUCUCUGCUCUGUCCUUUCUAUUCCCCCGGGGGUCAUGACAGAUGGCCUUUCAGAACCACCUUCUGGUUCUGCUGGAGGUUAGUUCCUGUUAAAGGGAAGUUUUCCUCUCCACUGUCAGUACAUACAUCUUCAUUAUGAGGCAUUGCCUAAGCUUAUAUAACUUUUAACCAAUUAAAAUAAUUGGUGUAGUGAUCUUUUUUUUCCUCAUUAGGGAAGUCUUCCUGUUAAAGGGAAGUUUUUCCUCUCCACUGUCACCAUGUGCAUCCUCAGUUUGUCUAUAGUAAUAAUAGUUUCAAGCUCAUGGUUCAGAAUUUAAGGCUUUGUCAAUACAAUCUGAGCAAGAAGAUAUAAAAGCCAAACAAGUUUUUGUCGACAUGAAGACUGAAGAUCCUGUGGACAUCAAGAAGGCCACUAUGGCACUGGACUCUGAACCAAACCGUGGGAAAUGUGGUUUGCUACGUCCUGUAGCCAAUCCUCAAGACUUUGAAGUCAUUGGAGGAUUUCAAAGAAAAUUGGUAACAGGUACAACAAAGCAGUUGAUCUAUUCCACAGUCUACGCAGGAAAAUCUGGUAAUCUAUAUGAAAGGUAGGUAUUCUGGUCUCGGGUACAACAACCGUAACAAAUCUGGGAUUCUCUGGUCUGUGAUCAAAUGUGGAAUUUAUUGUAAAAGGUGUGUGCAAAGGAGCGGCGGUGUAAAAAGCUUGUGUAGAAAACGUGUGUGUGUGACGACAAAAACUGACUAGACAAACAACACAUAAGGGAAAAGUCCUUCAGACAAACCCACAGGACCCUGCCCCCCCCACAACAACAAAGGAUGCAGAAGGCCUUCAUUGCACCCCACUGAUGGAUGACCAUAAUGACCCAAGAAAUGCUGCAGGAAUCUCCUGCAUCAUCUUGUUUUCGUCUCAGACUUGGCCCUCGUCGCCCGCCGCAGGAGGCCCCUCGUCGCCCGCCGCAGGAGGCCCCUCGUCGCCCGCCGCAGGAGGCCCUCGUCCCACUUCGCUGAUUGAUGACCUUACGACCUAAGAAAAGCUGCAGGAAUCCUCUCCAUCGCCCCACCAUCAACUGACUGAAAAGGCCUUCAUCAGCCCCACUGAUGGAUGACCUUAGUGACUCUACUGUUGGGUUCAGUUGGUUUUCUGGAGGAAACCCUGCAAGUGAAUCCUCCUGGAUGAUCUUGAUUUUGACUCUGAUUUGGCCCUUCAUUGCUCCACCAUCGACCGAGGGAAGAGGCCUUCAUCACAUUUUUUUUUUUUUUUUAAGGACAGUUUUGUUCAAAGACUGACCCGUUGUGUCUCUGCUCCGUCUUCUCAGCUCCUUCUCGGCGGUGUUUUCAGAUGGCUGCUGGUUCUGAGCCCGGUUCUGGUUCUGCUGGAGGUUUCUUCCUGUUAGAGGAGAGUUCUUCCU
This is a long non-coding RNA of Xiphophorus couchianus (Monterrey platyfish), 3007 nucleotides long. RefSeq lists it as uncharacterized. NCBI's taxonomy places the organism in Eukaryota, Metazoa, Chordata, Actinopteri, Cyprinodontiformes, Poeciliidae. The transcript has 5 exons. The record is from RefSeq and is a predicted model, not a curated record.